AGUGAACGCUGGCGGUAGGCCUAACACAUGCAAGUCGAACGGCAGCACAGUAAGAGCUUGCUCUUACGGGUGGCGAGUGGCGGACGGGUGAGGAAUACAUCGGAAUCUACUUUUUCGUGGGGGAUAACGUAGGGAAACUUACGCUAAUGCCGCAUACGACCUACGGGUGAAAGCAGGGGAUCUUCGGACCUUGCGCGAUUGAAUGAGCCGAUGUCGGAUUAGCUAGUUGGCGGGGUAAAGGCCCACCAAGGCGACGAUCCGUAGCUGGUCUGAGAGGAUGAUCAGCCACACUGGAACUGAGACACGGUCCAGACUCCUACGGGAGGCAGCAGUGGGGAAUAUUGGACAAUGGGCGCAAGCCUGAUCCAGCCAUACCGCGUGGGUGAAGAAGGCCUUCGGGUUGUAAAGCCCUUUUGUUGGGAAAGAAAAGCAGCAGGUUAAUACCCCGCUAUUCUGACGGUACCCAAAGAAUAAGCACCGGCUAACUUCGUG
Molecule: ribosomal RNA, 492 nt
Filed under: uncultured bacterium
Lineage: Bacteria
Description: partial 16S ribosomal RNA
Rfam family: Bacterial small subunit ribosomal RNA
Source: RNAcentral